ACACGUAGGGGGCAAGCGUUGUCCGGAUUUAUUGGGCGUAAAGAGCUCGUAGGCGGUUGCGUAAGUCGGAUGUGAAAACUCAGGGCUCAACCCUGAGAUGCCAUUCGAUACUGCGCUGACUAUAGUCCGGUAGAGGAGCACGGAAUUCCUGGUGUAGCGGUGAAAUGCGCAGAUAUCAGGAGGAACACCAGUAGCGAAGGCGGUGCUCUGGACCGGUACUGACGCUGAGGUGCGAAAGCGUGGGUAGCAAACAGGAUUAGAAACCCCGGUAGUCC
This 275-nucleotide ribosomal RNA is filed under the name uncultured bacterium. RNAcentral describes it as "partial 16S ribosomal RNA". It matches the Rfam family "Bacterial small subunit ribosomal RNA", at positions 523 to 796 of the family's 1533-position model. The record is from RNAcentral.